RNAcentral lists this ribosomal RNA (630 nucleotides) under uncultured Gammaproteobacteria bacterium. Its description in RNAcentral is "bacterial SSU rRNA". It matches the Rfam family "Bacterial small subunit ribosomal RNA", at positions 57 to 669 of the family's 1533-position model. Lineage: Bacteria; Pseudomonadati; Pseudomonadota; Gammaproteobacteria. The record is from RNAcentral.
GCAAGUUGAGCGCGAAAGGGGGGCAACUCCCGAGUAGAGCGGCGAACGGGUGAGUAACGCGUGGGUGAUCUACCUUCGAGUGGGGAAUAACACCGGGAAACUGGUGCUAAUACCGCAUGACAUCCCGGGAUCAAAUCUGGGAUCAAAGCCGGGGACCGCAAGGCCUGGCGCUUGAAGAGGAGCCCGCGUCCGAUUAGCUAGUUGGCGGGGUAACGGCCCACCAAGGCAACGAUCGGUAGCCGGCCUGAGAGGGCGGACGGCCACACUGGGACUGAGACACGGCCCAGACUCCUACGGGAGGCAGCAGUGGGGAAUUUUUCGCAAUGGGGGAAACCCUGACGAAGCAACGCCGCGUGGAGGAUGAAGGCCUUCGGGUCGUAAACUCCUGUCGACCGGGACGAAAGUGGUCCGACCUAAUACGUCGGGCUAUCGACUGUACCGGUGGAGGAAGCCACGGCUAACUCUGUGCCAGCAGCCGCGGUAAUACAGAGGUGGCAAGCGUUGUUCGGAAUUACUGGGCGUAAAGGGCGCGUAGGCGGUCUUGUAAGUCCCGCGUGAAAUCCCCCGGCUCAACUGGGGAACGGCGCGGGAGACUGCUUGGCUUGAGUUCGGGAGAGGGAAGCGGAAUUC